CCUACGGGCGGCAGCAGUGAGGAAUAUUGGUCAAUGGGCGCAAGCCUGAACCAGCCAAGUCGCGUGAGGGAUGACGGUCCUAUGGAUUGUAAACCUCUUUUGUCGGGGAGCAAGGCCCGCCACGUGUGGCGGGAAGGAGAGUACCCGAAGAAAAAGCAUCGGCUAACUCCGUGCCAGCAGCCGCGGUAAUACGGGGGAUGCGAGCGUUAUCCGGAUUUAUUGGGUGUAAAGGGUGCGUAGGCGGAAGGUUAAGUCAGCGGUCAAAUGUCGGUGCUCAACACCGGCCUGCCGUUGAAACUGGUCGUCUUGAGUGAGCGAGAAGUAUGCGGAAUGCGUGGUGUAGCGGUGAAAUGCAUAGAUAUCACGCAGAACUCCGAUUGCGAAGGCAGCAUACCGGCGCUCAACUGACGCUGAGGCACGAAAGCGUGGGGAUCGAACAGGAUUAGAUACCCCUGUAGUC
Molecule: ribosomal RNA, 460 nt
Filed under: uncultured bacterium
Lineage: Bacteria
Description: partial 16S ribosomal RNA
Rfam family: Bacterial small subunit ribosomal RNA
Source: RNAcentral